AACGAACGCUGGCGGCAGGCUUAACACAUGCAAGUCGAGCGAGACCUUCGGGUCUAGCGGCGGACGGGUGCGUAACGCGUGGGAACGUGCCCUUCUCUUCGGUAUAGCCCCGGGAAACUGGGAGUAAUACCGUAUACGCCCUCCGUGGGAAAGAUUUAUCGGAGAAGGAUCGGCCCGCGUUGGAUUAGGUAGUUGGUGGGGUAAUGGCCCACCAAGCCGACGAUCCAUAGCUGGUUUGCGAGGAGGAUCAGCCACACUGGGACUGAGACACGGCCCAGACUCCUACGGGAGGCAGCAGUGGGGAAUCUUAGACAAUGGGGGCAACCCUGAGCUAGCCAUGCCGCGUGAGGGAUGCAGGCCUUAGGGUUGUAAAGCUCUUUCAGCUGGGAAGAUAAUGACGGUACCAGCAGAAGAAGCCCCGGCUAACUCCGUG
This 433-nucleotide ribosomal RNA is filed under the name uncultured bacterium. Its description in RNAcentral is "partial 16S ribosomal RNA". It matches the Rfam family "Bacterial small subunit ribosomal RNA", at positions 29 to 507 of the family's 1533-position model. The record is from RNAcentral.